Molecule: ribosomal RNA, 330 nt
Filed under: Triticum aestivum (bread wheat)
Lineage: Eukaryota; Viridiplantae; Streptophyta; Magnoliopsida; Poales; Poaceae
Description: partial small subunit ribosomal RNA
Source: RNAcentral
AUGUAUCUUACAUCUGGUAUCAGAGACCAAUCCCACCCCCUUCCACUGUCCACUCUGGCCAAGAUCAUCGAGAUGCGGCGGCUGCGCCAAGCACGAUCACAGCUCGUCGCCAUGGAUCCAACCAUGGAAGCCUUCCUCGACCGCCUCGACAACACGCUCAAGGCCCAGAACAAGGCCAUCGCUGAGAUCCAGGCGUCCACAGCCAAGAUCGACGAACUCGUCCACUGGCGACCCGAUCUGGAGAAGCGCGUCUCCGAUCUGGGCGAUGCGGUGGCGGCGCUCCAACUAGCGCAGACCAAGGAGAUCGAGGGAAAUCGAGCGCCCGCAUAG